GGAAUAUUGGACAAUGGGCGAAAGCCUGAUCCAGCCAUGCCGCGUGUGUGAAGAAGGUCUUCGGAUUGUAAAGCACUUUAAGUUGGGAGGAAGGGCAGUAAGCGAAUACCUUGCUGUUUUGACGUUACCGACAGAAUAAGCACCGGCUAACUCUGUGCCAGCAGCCGCGGUAAUACAGAGGGUGCAAGCGUGAAUCGGAAUUACUGGGCGUAAAGCGCGCGUAGGUGGUUGGUUAAGUUGGAUGUGAAAGCCCCGGGCUCAACCUGGGAACUGCACCCGAUACUGGCCGACUAGAGUACGAGAGAGGGAGGUAGAAUUCCACGUGUAGCGGUGAAAUGCGUAGAUAUGUGGAGGAAUACCGGUGGCGAAGGCGACCUCCUGGCUCGAUACUGACGCUGAGGUGCGAAAGCGUGGGGAGCAAAC
Molecule: ribosomal RNA, 423 nt
Filed under: uncultured bacterium
Lineage: Bacteria
Description: bacterial SSU rRNA
Rfam family: Bacterial small subunit ribosomal RNA
Source: RNAcentral